AAGAUACCCUCAAAAAAGGUUUGUGUUUAAGAAAUCCCUUUAUAUGUUAUAAAAAGCAAGAUUCCAAAACAGUAACAUAAAUCACUAACCUGGUUAUUAAGAAAAAUACUUCAAGAGGUUUUAAGCGCAAAACAAAAAGGGGUAUCAAGUUAAAUUGCUAACAGUUUCUUGCAGUUGUAUGCUGUGUUGGUAGUUUGGUUGCUUUGGUUAAGGCUUUGUGCGCAAUCAACAAAAUUGUAUGUUGUCAAGUGUCGUGUUUAUCAUUCUAGAGCUAGAGUUUAGUUGGCUACUGCACAUAGUACCAACUUACAACAUCAACAGCAACAGAAACAAGACAAUGUCACAAAAGUCAACACAAACAACAAGAAUACUUAAAAUCGAGACAACAAAAACAACAACAUUAAUAGCAACAACAACAAUAAUACAAACAACAGUAGCUGCUAACAUUAGCUGCAACACAGCAACAUCAACAGCAGCAGCAUGAAAACAAACAACAUUAGCGGCAUAGCAACUUGUAAUAUGGUAUGUUUAUGCUUCCAAGAUACAAAAAGGUGAUAAUUAUUAUAUAAAGUAAGAUGAACUUAGAGGAUAUGCAAAAAUGAAUGUGUUACUGGUUGUUUCGAGUCUGGAGUAAAUGGAAAAUCUUACAUGUAAAUAAAUAGAAAAAUAAGCACAACAUCACGGCAAAAAGAAGAAAAAGGAGAAAAAAGACUAGUAAAACAAAAUUAAUUUUUUUGUUUAUCAUCGAAAAAUCGUAUAAAUCGGAAUUGUAAAGGUGCUCACCGGUCGGUAUUUUGAAUAUUAAAGUAAAUUUCGUUCGAUGUUGUAAGGUGCGUGUUUUCAAUCGGUUUUAAUCUAUUAGUAAAGCAAAAAAUAAAUAAAAUUUAUAAAGAUGAAAGAUCUUAAAAAAAGUUGUAGCAUUACGCAUCGGUUCGGGAGUGUUUAUUAUUUUGUGGAUAGUUUUUCGGUUAAAUCGUGUAAAAGGCAUGCUUGACACAUUAUUAAAGAUGAUCUAUAUGCAGUACCUUAAUUUAAAGUACACUGCAGUACCCAUGCUAACAAAUUAGCAGAGAAAAAAGUCAAUUACACCAUUGCCCUACGGACUCAGCAAUCCAAUUGGUAUUAGCUUCAUUUGCAUAAAUCUAUAAAUCGGUGUUAUAAAGUUGCUUGUCGUUCGGUAUUUUAAAUAUUAAAGAAAAUUUCGUUCGAAGUUCAAAUGUGCAUUUUUCACUCGGUUUUAACAAAUUUGGAAAUCAAAAAUAUAUAAGAAAAUAGCUACAUAUAGCAUUGCUUAGUAAUUCGAGUCGGUUCGGGAGUGUUUAUUAUUUUUCGGAUUAUCGGAGUUGUUAAGUUGCUCGGUCGGUAUUUUAAAUAUUAAAGUAAAUUUCAUUCGAAGUUCUAAUGUGCAUUUUUCAUUCGAUUUUAACAAAUGUGUAAAACAAAAAUUUAAGAAAAUAGCUAUAUAUAGCAUUGCUUAGUAAUUCGAGUCAGUUCGGGAGUGUUUAUUAUUUUUCGGAUAAAUCGUGUUAAAAGCUUGCUUGUCAUCUUAUUAGAUAUCAUGUAUUUUAUUUAAUCUGCAAUAUCUUAAAUUUUGAACACUGCACUAUCCAUAUUAGCAGAGACAAUAAUCAAUUACACCAUUGCCGCACGAACUCAGCAAUCCAAUUGGUAUUAGCUUCAACAUACACCUCUUCUGUGCUAAACGAGUGAAGUUUGGUGUUUUUUAAUAAUUAAGUAAAUUUGAGAAAAAAAGUGUUUUCGCGGUUCGCGUCGGUAAUUUUUAAAAGUGUUUUAAAAAAAAAUUUAAAGAAGAUGGAAUCUCCUGUCAACUGUUGCAUCAUAAUUUUAAAAUACCACAUUAUCGACCAUCAUCUAUACUAGCAGAGACAACAAUCAAAUACUGCAUUAUACACCAGUUAAGCUUCAUCAUAAACCAGUGCUGUACUAAAUGGAAGUUUCAACGCGCGUAGUUUUGUUUUUAUAAAUAAAUUUUCGAAAAAAAGUGUUUCGAGUUGUAAAAUAAAAAAGUUUUGGCGGUUCGCUUCGGAAAUUUUUGAAAGUAGAAAAAUAAGUGUUCAUAUGUUUCGUUUCGUGUCGGUUAUUAAAAAAAUAAAAUAAAUUAAAAAUUAUUUUGGCGGUGCGCGUCGAAAAAGAAAAGAAUCGCUUAUAUCGUUCGUUCUUGAAAAAAUAUAAAGAAAUAUCUAAUGAAGUGAAAUUGUGUACUUCGGUUACCCGAUACAUAUUUUGAUAGAGAUGGAAUCUUUUUUUCAACUAUUGUAUCGUAAAUUCUAAAUAACCACAUUAUCGGCCAUCAUCUACACUAGCAGAGACAACAAUCAACUACUGCAUUAUCAAACAGCUAAGCUUCAUCAUAAACCUCUGCUGUACUAGAUGGAAGUUUCAACGCGCGUAGUUCUGUUUUUAUAAAUAAAUUUUCGAAAAAACGUGUUUCGAGUUGUAAAAUAAAAAAGUUUUGGCGGUUCGUUUCGGUAAUUUUUGAAAGUAGAAAAAUAAGUGUUCAUUUGUUUCGUUUCGUGUCGGUUAUUUAAAAAAAAUAAAUUAAAAAUGAUUUUGGCGGUUCGCGUCGGGAAGUUAGAAAAGAAUCGCUUAUAUCGUCCGGUCUUUAAAAAGUAUAUAGAAAUAUCUAAUGAAGUGAAAUUGUGUACUUUGGUUACCCGAUAAUUUAAUAGAGAUGGAAUCUCUUUUCAACUUUUGUAUCAUAAAUUCCAAAUAACCACAUUAUCGGCCGUUAUCUACACUAGCAGAGACAACAAUCAACUACUGCAUUAUCAAACAGCUGAGCUUCAUCUUAAACAUGUGCUGGAACUUUGGUUAUAAACGGGUUUAAUGAUACUUACCGUGCUCGCAGCAAACGUGAUACCGCUCUAUUAGCAUACGAUGCUGAUGUUGCUCAAAAGGAAAUUUUACGUGAAUUUGGUCCUAGAGCAUGCAUCUUAGAGGAACCUUGUCGCAUACAUGCC
RNA transcript from Lucilia sericata (common green bottle fly), 2981 nucleotides. RefSeq lists it as uncharacterized. The transcript is spliced from 13 exons. The record is from RefSeq and is a predicted model, not a curated record. NCBI's taxonomy places the organism in Eukaryota, Metazoa, Arthropoda, Insecta, Diptera, Calliphoridae.